This is a long non-coding RNA of Poecilia reticulata (guppy), 576 nucleotides long. RefSeq lists it as uncharacterized. NCBI's taxonomy places the organism in Eukaryota, Metazoa, Chordata, Actinopteri, Cyprinodontiformes, Poeciliidae. The record is from RefSeq and is a predicted model, not a curated record.
GUGGGAGGAUUUUGUUCUGGGAUCUGCUGACCGUCUGUGUUGUUGGGAGAACUGCAGAUAUAAAAACAAGAAAGUUGAGAGAAAAGAGUGCUCUACUGAAGAAUACAAAGGGAAAGUUGAAUGGAAGGAAAACAUCUGAGAGAAAACGGUAAAAACCAGCAGGGAUAACUUCAGUUUUUAGAGGAUUGUGGAGAAAACCCAACUCAAGAAAUGGAGUCAGAUUUUCUAAAGCCACUCCACACAGACGGACCUGAGCUACACCACUCCAAAACCACAGAUCACUUUAGGAGCACUUUACCUCCAACAAAAUUCUUUUGAGAUAAAGACGACGGCCGCAGCAGAUCCAACAUCAACCCAACUGCAGACAGCCUGACCCAAGGCUGACCCAGUCCCGUUUCAGAUCCCAACGUUCUUCUUCUAUGUGCUGGAAAACGGUCCAAAUGUAGAAUAUAUUGAGCGUCUGAAUCCCCCUGAGGCUCAUUAUAACGUCAGCCAAUCCUCAGACUCCAUCUUCUCCUCUUACUCUCGUUGUCUUCACUUACUCUGUUGUUUGGAUUGAAACCAUAAAAUUCAGUU